Molecule: small RNA, 30 nt
Filed under: Bombyx mori (domestic silkworm)
Lineage: Eukaryota; Metazoa; Arthropoda; Insecta; Lepidoptera; Bombycidae
Description: ovarian small RNA-13459
Source: RNAcentral
CCAACGAGGACCCCUAGCGCUGCCACUGAU